RNAcentral lists this ribosomal RNA (264 nucleotides) under uncultured bacterium. RNAcentral's name for it is "partial 16S ribosomal RNA". It matches the Rfam family "Bacterial small subunit ribosomal RNA", at positions 335 to 614 of the family's 1533-position model. The record is from RNAcentral.
GUGCCUCGGGACGCAGCAGUGGGGAAUAUUGCACAAUGGGGGAAACCCUGAUGCAGCAACGCCGCGUGAAGGAAGAAGGGUUUCGGCUCGUAAACUUCUAUCGAUAGGGACGAAAGAGAUGACGGUACCUAAAUAAGAAGCCCCGGCUAACUACGUGCCAGCAGCCGCGGUAAUACGUAGGGGGCAAGCGUUAUCCGGAAUUACUGGGUGUAAAGGGAGCGUAGACGGCGAUGCAAGCCAGGAGUGAAAGCCCGGGGCCCAACC